GUGCUACUGGCGCCGGGUCGGUCCGGGUAGGCGCAGCGGGACUGGACCUGGGUGCCGAGCGGAGCCGCUGCCAUGGGCCUGGGCGUCAGCGCUGAGCAGCCCGCAGGCGGCGCCGAGGGCUUCCACCUCCACGGGGUGCAGGAGAACUCCCCAGCCCAGCAGGCAGGCCUGGAGCCCUACUUUGACUUCAUCAUCACCAUUGGGCACUCGAGGCUGAACAAGGAGAAUGACACCCUGAAGGCACUACUGAAAGCCAAUGUGGAGAAGCCCGUGAAGCUGGAGGUGUUCAAUAUGAAGACCAUGAGGGUGCGCGAGGUGGAGGUGGUGCCCAGCAACAUGUGGGGCGGCCAGGGCCUACUGGGUGCCAGCGUGCGCUUCUGCAGCUUCCGCAGGGCCAGUGAGCAGGUGUGGCAUGUGCUGGAUGUGGAACCAUCUUCACCUGCUGCCCUUGCCGGCCUGCGCCCUUACACAGACUAUGUGGUUGGUUCGGACCAGAUUCUCCAGGAGUCCGAGGACUUCUUUACGCUCAUCGAGUCUCAUGAGGGGAAGCCCUUGAAGCUGAUGGUGUAUAACUCCAAGUCAGACUCCUGCCGGGAGGUGACUGUAACUCCCAACGCAGCCUGGGGUGGAGAGGGCAGUCUGGGAUGUGGCAUUGGCUAUGGGUAUCUACACCGGAUCCCAACUCAGCCCCCCAGCUACCACAAGCAGCCACCUGGUACCCCACCACCUUCUGCUUCACCACCUGGUGCCCCACCACCUGAUGCCCCACCACCUGAUGCCCUACCACCUGGACCCACCCCCGAGGACUCUCCUUCCCUGGAGACAGGUUCCAGGCAGAGUGACUACAUGGAGGCCCUGCUGCAGGCACCUGGCUCCUCCAUGGAGGAUCCCCUUCCUGGGCCUGGGAGUCCCAGCCACAGUGCUCCAGACCCUGAUGGACUUCCCCAUUUAAUGGAGACUCCUCUUCAGCCCCCACCUCCAGUGCAGCGAGUUAUGGACCCAGGUUUCCUGGACGUGUCGGGAAUUUCCCUCUUGGACAACAGCAAUGCCAGUGUGUGGCCCAGUCUGCCCUCUUCCACAGAACUGACCACCACAGCUGUCUCAACCUCAGGGCCAGAGGACAUCUGCUCCAGCAGCAGUUCUCAUGAGCGGGGUGGUGAGGCUACAUGGUCUGGGUCAGAGUUUGAGGUCUCCUUCCUGGACAGCCCAGGUGCCCAAGCCCAGGCGGACCACCUGCCUCAGCUGACUCUUCCUGACAGUCUCACCUCUGCAGCCUCACCAGAAGAUGGGCUGUCCGCCGAGCUGCUUGAAGCUCAGGCUGAGGAGGAACCAGCAAGCACAGAGGGCCUAGAUAUUGGGACGGAGGCUGAGGGGCUGGCCAGCCAGGCCCAGAUCUCUACUACAGAAUAAUACCCUGGGCUGUGACAAGGCCCCUGAUGACAUUUCAUGAGGCCCAGAUGUGGGCAGGCAGCCCAGGCUGCACUAUGCAGUCAGCUCCAUGCUGAUUCUAGCCCUGUGCCUGAUCCCAGCCCUAUGUGUUCAGCUUUCUAGGCUGUAGCUCCAAGUGAUGUGCAGGGACUUCUGCUGGCAGGGGGCUUCUGUGUCCACUCAGACUCUACUUCUAGUGUCCAAGAGGUAACCUCCCAGCAUUUAUCCUGCCUGAUAGUCCUGGCUUUGGGGGUUUCAAGCAAGUCUUUCUGGGGUAGCAGAGGGCUGGGAGCAGCACCCCAAAUUGUUUUAUAGGAGCUGGGGUAGGAGAGGAGGGAUUCUUUGCUGCUUUGGUGGGGCAUGAGGCCUCAGUGGGUGGUGAGAGGGGGCCAUGGGCCUUGUGGGAGGAUAUCUUUUGGCCGUGUGCCCUCAGGUCCAGUGCUUGGUCCUGCUCUGGUCACUGGGGCUGCCCAGGAGGCAGCAGGGUCUGGUCAUAAUCCAAUGUGAAGAUGAGGUGAGAAAGGAAGGGGUUGCUGUCCAGUGUUAGCCUGGUCGCUUUGAUUCUUCCUGCACAGCUCAGGCCACCCCAUCUGUACUGGAAGGGACCCUGGAGCCCUGGGACCACCCCCUUUCAAGUCUCAAACACUGAGUCCUCUGUCAUGUGUCCUUGUCCCUAGGCUACAAUGCUACACUUGGCUCAGGCUGGUCACCAUGCUAGUCACAGGAGGGAGAGAGAGGCAGUGUACUUGCCCCCGGUUGGAAAUUCUAGGCCCUUCAGCAGAGACCCAUUUGUGCCCAGACCACAAUAUUUCUUCCUCCUCAGGGCCUACAUGCCACAGACCUGUAUCGCCAGUGGCAACUCCUGUUAGCUCCCAAACUUAAACAGUGAUCUCUUCUAAAUAUACAAGGCAUCUACCCAGCCCCAAUAGUGAAUAAAAGUCACAAAUUUAAGUUCAACACCCUAAGCAAUUUCUCAAAGCCAGUCUACCUGACUAGGUCUAUCCACGCACGGUUCCCAACCCCAAGGGGGAAUUAGGGGAAUAGAUUAAGAGUAGGUAAAGACCCUUUUGUUCUUUCCUGUUGUAGGGGAGGAAGCUGUUCUCCCCACCCCAGGUGCCUUUGGAGGUUAAGGCUAGGUUAGGCCCUGCACUCCAUCUGGAGACGGCCCCUCAUCACCUGAAGUCCUCUGCUGUGUUGACUGGACCCUCACUUCCCACAUUGCUAAUUACUAUGAAAGCUGCCUCUGGCCUCAUCAUCUAGCCUGUGCCUAGUUGAAAGUCUCACCUUUACAGGAUCAUUUGUAAUGCUGGUGUACAUGCAGGGAACUCACAAGCUGUGUCAGACUGUCAGAUUUUCUGGAAACUGUAUUACGGUUUGACUGGAGGGGAAAGAAAUACAAUCAUGCUGGGGGUCAGAUCGAUGACAGGAGGGGAAUGCAGCCACCCAAGGCUUAGCACACAGGGCAAAAUGACCCAGCAAAACCCAUUUCUUUGCUCAAAGGCCCCUCGGGCAAACACAACUGAGGGCUGGUAAAUAAUUUUUUUUUUUUUUUUUUUUUUUGCCAUUAAUUCACAACUAUUGCUAAAAAAUGUGCACCAAAAGCGCACUGUUGUAUCCAACAGAUAGAAAGGACUUUUAAGAAAAAGAAGCUGGUUGCUCUCUGAGGAAGGGAGAAAGACCAUUUCAACUUAUUAGAAAUGUGGCCACGUCUUUGCUCACUUCUUCAAAGUGCAGGUGACAAUGGCCUGUCCAGUUUCCAAAGGAAGCUGACUAGCAGUGAGGGAACCCUGUCUCUGCAGUUGUGCGAUCAGAGUAUCUUAAAUACUAAGGUAUGGACUUAGGCCUAUCAGCUGCCGCCAGCCGAACCUGUGAAGAUGUAGAAAAGAAAAAAACCUUCCCUGCCUCCCUCCCUAGUCCCUGCUAUGGUGGAGGCAGGCCACACACAAGCUAGGGAGGCAACUGGACUGGAAUCAACUGCCCUCUGAAGGCACUUGUGCUUCUGGCUUCAUACAGGAGGCUUGUCUUACAGUUUUAUGGCGGUGGACCAUUGAUUUACUCUGAAUACAAAUGACCUUGGGGAGAAUCCAAAGUAUUUUCUGCCAAAAGUUGAAGUGUUUAUCCCCAAUAAGUUACAUUCUAUACAAGAUCCAAAUGAUUCUAUGAAAGUGUUAGAUUGUUAGAACAGUGAAAAGAUCUGGAUACAGGUACAACAAAAACCUGCAUAUAAAACUUUGGAAAAACAAAUAUGUAUACUUCCAGGAUAUGAAUAUCAAAUUAACUCACUAUGAUCUCCCUUUAUUCUGAUACCAUAAAUUUUAGGUAACAUUUGAAUGAAACUGAAAUUUCAUCAUGGUCUUAAGUUUUGAUGGUGUCAUGCUGCUCAUCCACAGCAAGAACCUGUGGUCUCAGCUCGCUUUGUUUAAAUAAAACUGGACACAGUGGAGGAAGGAGUGAAACGGCUGCACCUCCCUGGGGUUGCCACAAAGCCAGGACAUCAUGGGAGGUGCAGCAUCGCUAGGCACGGGCUGCACAAACUCUGGCCCAGCAGUCCAAGUGCUAUGAUCCAGCACCUGGAAUUUCAACAGAUCUUCCUACAAGAACACAUCUGAGAUGCAAUAUUAAAAACAAGCCCAACAUUAAUCUUUUAUUACGAAAUGGGCUGGUUCUCAAAUUGUGCAACAGCAAAUUCCCAUUAAAAAUAACUGUCUUAAACGGUGAAAA
Molecule: RNA transcript, 4149 nt
Organism: Pongo pygmaeus (Bornean orangutan)
Lineage: Eukaryota; Metazoa; Chordata; Mammalia; Primates; Hominidae
Gene: GORASP1
Gene name: golgi reassembly stacking protein 1
Exons: 10
Source: RefSeq, a predicted model, not a curated record